This 874-nucleotide ribosomal RNA is filed under the name Escherichia coli. RNAcentral's name for it is "partial 23S ribosomal RNA". It matches the Rfam family "Bacterial large subunit ribosomal RNA", at positions 358 to 1237 of the family's 2925-position model. The record is from RNAcentral. Lineage: Bacteria; Pseudomonadati; Pseudomonadota; Gammaproteobacteria; Enterobacterales; Enterobacteriaceae.
UACAGGGUGACAGCCCCGUACACAAAAAUGCACAUAUUGUGAGCUCGAUGAGUAGGGCGGGACACGUGGUAUCCUGUCUGAAUAUGGGGGGACCAUCCUCCAAGGCUAAAUACUCCUGACUGACCGAUAGUGAACCAGUACCGUGAGGGAAAGGCGAAAAGAACCCCGGCGAGGGGAGUGAAAAAGAACCUGAAACCGUGUACGUACAAGCAGUGGGAGCCUCUUAAUGGGGUGACUGCGUACCUUUUGUAUAAUGGGUCAGCGACUUAUAUUCUGUAGCAAGGUUAACCGAAUAGGGGAGCCGAAGGGAAACCGAGUCUUAACUGGGCGUUAAGUUGCAGGGUAUAGACCCGAAACCCGGUGAUCUAGCCAUGGGCAGGUUGAAGGUUGGGUAACACUAACUGGAGGACCGAACCGACUAAUGUUGAAAAAUUAGCGGAUGACUUGUGGCUGGGGGUGAAAGGCCAAUCAAACCGGGAGAUAGCUGGUUCUCCCCGAAAGCUAUUUAGGUAGCGCCUCGUGAAUUCAUCUCCGGGGGUAGAGCACUGUUUCGGCAAGGGGGUCAUCCCGACUUACCAACCCGAUGCAAACUGCGAAUACCGGAGAAUGUUAUCACGGGAGACACACGGCGGGUGCUAACGUCCGUCGUGAAGAGGGAAACAACCCAGACCGCCAGCUAAGGUCCCAAAGUCAUGGUUAAGUGGGAAACGAUGUGGGAAGGCCCAGACAGCCAGGAUGUUGGCUUAGAAGCAGCCAUCAUUUAAAGAAAGCGUAAUAGCUCACUGGUCGAGUCGGCCUGCGCGGAAGAUGUAACGGGGCUAAACCAUGCACCGAAGCUGCGGCAGCGACACUAUGUGUUGUUGGGUAGGGGAGC